GAUGAAGAACGUAGCGAAAUGCGAUACUUGGUGUGAAUUGCAGAAUCCCGUGAACCAUCGAGUCUUUGAACGCAAGUUGCGCCUCAAGCCAUUAGGUUGAGGGCACGUCUGCCUGGGCGUCACAUAUCGUUGCCUGAUGCCAGUUUCCUCGUGAUGGGUGACUGUGCAGGGCGAAUGAUGGCUUCCCGUGAGCAUUGUUGCCUCAUGGUUGGUUGAAAAUUGAGUCCUUGGUAGGGAGCGCCGUGAUAGAUGGUGGUUGAGCGACGAACGAGACCCAAUCAUGUGAGACCCCUACCGAAAUUGGCCUUCAUGACCCACAUGCGUCUUUGGAACGCUCAUGACGAGACCUCAGGUCAGGCGGGGCUACCCGCUGAGUUUAAGCAUAUCAAUAAGCGGAGGA
This 400-nucleotide unclassified non-coding RNA is filed under the name soil metagenome. Its description in RNAcentral is "partial contains 5.8S ribosomal RNA, internal transcribed spacer 2, and large subunit ribosomal RNA". The stretch from base 1 to 122 matches the Rfam family "5.8S ribosomal RNA", at positions 35 to 154 of the family's 154-position model. The record is from RNAcentral.